Ornithodoros turicata is the source of this 628-nucleotide long non-coding RNA. RefSeq lists it as uncharacterized. NCBI's taxonomy places the organism in Eukaryota, Metazoa, Arthropoda, Arachnida, Ixodida, Argasidae. The record is from RefSeq and is a predicted model, not a curated record. The transcript is spliced from 3 exons.
UCCCCUGCGCACCACUUCGGAGAAAGAUCCUUUCAUUUGAAAUUCGUAUUGUGUCUUUGCAGCUCUGUAAGGAAUGUUUUGUACGGUUUUGAUCUUUAUGAUUUCUUUUUCUUCUUUCCAACGUGGACACGAUCGAGAGUACACCGGGUGGUUGCCCUGGCAGUUGGCACAACGGUACUCAUUGCUGCAAGUCUCUGGCGAAUGGUCUUUGCCAGAGCACUUUGGGCAGGUGGAGUGUCCGCGGCAGACAAGCGAACUGUGCCCAAAAUGCUGGCACUUGAAACAACGUCUUGGGUUUGGAAUGUAUGGUCUGACAUUGCAACUGAGAGACCACGCCCUGCUCACUCAGUCCAUCUUCAAUCUCAGAUUCUGUGCAUUCGAUGAGUUCAUCUUCUGAUAUUACACCUUUGGUUAUGUUCAGUGUGCGGUGUACGUUAACAUUUACAGUGCAGCAGGCGUGUCGCCCACCAUGGAGCCCAACUUGGGGAACGUGCCCCGCACGCUAACACCUACCUCUGCACUAUACCCUAGUGCAGCUUCUGGAGAGUGAAAAGACUGCCCAAGGUUGACCCUUGCCGCCAAAGAAGGUGAAGGGAGGAAAAGGAAGACAGUGAAGGAGUGGAGAAAG